UCCCUGGUGGUCCAAGGUUAAGACACCAAACUUCCAAUGCAGGGGACCCAGGUUUGAUUCCUGGUUGGGGAA
This 72-nucleotide transfer RNA is filed under the name Ovis aries (sheep). It matches the Rfam family "tRNA". Rfam says of the family: Transfer RNA (tRNA) molecules are approximately 80 nucleotides in length. Their secondary structure includes four short double-helical elements and three loops (D, anti-codon, and T loops). Lineage: Eukaryota; Metazoa; Chordata; Mammalia; Artiodactyla; Bovidae. The record is from Rfam by way of RNAcentral.